GAUAAACGCUGGCGGCGCACAUAAGACAUGCAAGUCGAACGGAAGUCGUUAUAAAAAGGAUUGAGGAUUUAUCUGAUUGAGAUUUUAUAACAAUGGCUUUAGUGGCGGACUGGUGAGUAACGCGUGAGCAACCUGCCUACUAGAGGGGAAUAACAGUGAGAAAUCAUUGCUAAUACCGCAUAUGCCAUGAACAUCACAUGAUGAAAGUGGGAAAAGAGUAAUCUGCUAGUAGAUGGGCUCGCGUCUGAUUAGAUAGUUGGUGGGGUAACGGCCUACCAAGUCGACGAUCAGUAGCCGGACUGAGAGGUUGAACGGCCACAUUGGGACUGAGAUACGGCCCAGACUCCUACGGGAGGCAGCAGUCGGGAAGUAUUGCGCAAUGGAGGAAACUCUGACGCAGUGACGCCGCGUAUAGGAAGAAGGUUUUCGGAUUGUAAACUAUUGUCGUUAGGGAAGAUACAAGACAGUACCUAAGGAGGAAG
RNAcentral lists this ribosomal RNA (482 nucleotides) under uncultured bacterium. RNAcentral describes it as "bacterial SSU rRNA". It matches the Rfam family "Bacterial small subunit ribosomal RNA", at positions 28 to 490 of the family's 1533-position model. The record is from RNAcentral.